AACUAACGCUGGCGGCGUGCCUAACACAUGCAAGUCGUACGAGAAAGUUGGCUUCGGCUGAUGAGUAAAGUGGCGCACGGGUGAGUAACGCGUGGAUAAUCUGCCUUUUAGUUGGGAAUAACGUACCGAAAGGUGCGCUAAUACCGGAUAAUACUGCAUAACUACUGUUGUGUAGUCAAAGAAGGCCUCUGUUUACAAGCUUUUGCUGAAAGAUGAGUCCGCGUACCAUUAGCUAGUUGGUAGGGUAAUGGCCUACCAAGGCUACGAUGGUUAGCUGGUCUGAGAGGAUGAUCAGCCACACUGGAACUGAGACACGGUCCAGACUCCUACGGGAGGCAGCAGUGAGGAAUAUUGCGCAAUGGGGGCAACCCUGACGCAGCAACGCCGCGUGAGUGAGGAAGGUUUUCGGGUUGUAAACUGCUUUUGUCAGGGAAGAAAUCUUCUGGGCUAAUACCCCGGGAGGAUGACGGUACCUGAAGAAUAAGCACCGGCUAACUACGUGCC
Molecule: ribosomal RNA, 504 nt
Filed under: uncultured bacterium
Lineage: Bacteria
Description: bacterial SSU rRNA
Rfam family: Bacterial small subunit ribosomal RNA
Source: RNAcentral